Molecule: long non-coding RNA, 2064 nt
Filed under: Solanum lycopersicum (tomato)
Lineage: Eukaryota; Viridiplantae; Streptophyta; Magnoliopsida; Solanales; Solanaceae
Description: long non-coding RNA (SLYC_LNC000666)
Source: RNAcentral
GCGCAGGCAGCAGCUUCUCCAAGUUCCCUUCCUCUCCUAUUCCUCUUCUCCCGCGAAGCAGCGAGCUGCCGAUCGACCCCAAUCACCGUUGAUCUCUCUUCCCGACUUCUUCUUCCCCUCUCCUCCCGCCUUCUUCUUCCUCUCAAUCCUUCUCGCCUUCCUCUUCCUUCCUCUUCUUUGUCUCCCUCAUUUUUUUUCUCUUUUCUGGUAGGGACAAGUGUAGCAACAGAAACACCACCAGCGGCCGGCCAGUAGCUCCGACAACACCAGCGAAGCAGCUCCGAGAAGAGAGCUAUUGCGAGGACGAAAAUCCAGGCAGCAGCUCCAGCGCCUCCCGCCAGCAAGCAGUUCGCUCGCCCCCUCCCUUUUCCGGUGAAACAACGGACAGCAACUCCGGCUAUGGUCAGCAAUGGCACGAAAUUCGAACUUAGCGUUUGAGAAAUGGCGGAUCUGGACAGAUCCAUCUAGGUUUGUUCUAGUCAAUUAAUUGUUAUUCAUCUCUUAAUACUCUUAGUUGUUGGUCCUUGGCAUGCUCUUGACUUCUAUAUAAAUUGUACUUUUUAUGCAUCUACUUUAUGUGAGUAAAAAAAUGUUUUGAACUGCAUCGUAGAAGGAGCCAUAAUUUUUUUUUAUCUUAAGCAUGUUUCGUUGUAAGUUGUUGAUGCUUGAAUGUUCUUAUAUCUAUAUUAUCGGCUUCAUUGUAAUUUGGUGAUAUGCAGAAAGAAAUAAUAUGUUCUUGAUUUAGAAUUUUGAACCCCUGGUUUUAAAUUGAUUAAUUUCUUAAACAAAUAUGUUGCAAUUAUAUUUUACUUUUACUUGCUUACAUGGUAAUGGUAUAUAUUUUUUAAUUCCGAUUUUUGGAUCCUUUGAAAUAAGGAAAAUAAUAUUAAUUGACCCCCCUUCCCUUAUUUAAAAUUGACAGAUCUCUAUCUUGUUUUCAUAUAUGAAAAAAAUAUAAAUAAUUUCAAUUUUGGCUCUUUUUUAAUUCAAGGAAAGUAAUAUUGUCCUCUCUUAAUUUAUUCUUAUUUGUUUAUAUUUUGUAACAUAAUAUUUUAAAAUCUGAUUUUGGCUCUUUUUAUUUAAGGGGAAAUAUUAUACUUUUUGCUUACUUUUACUAGUUUAUUUUUUGUAAUGAAAUAAUUAGAAUAUUUUCUGAUUUUGGCUCUCCUUGAAAAUAAGGAAAUUGUGAUCUAAUUGACUCCUUAAUUUAUUCUAUUUCCCUUAUUAUGCUCCCCUCUUCUACUAUAUAAACUAGACCCCCUCCUCACAUUCACUUACUCAUUCACUCACAUUGACUCUCUAACAAGCUUUUCUCACUACUCUCACAUCUUGAGAAGAGCUCACAUUUUUCCAACUCACACUAAACUCAUUCAUUCUCUCUCUCAACACAAGAACUAGACUCCUCACUCUCUCAUUGCUCUCUUGCUACUCUUAAAAAAAUAAAUUAAGAUUCCGGUAAAAUAUUCAAGUGCUCUUCUUUGCUACUUUUCUGCUUUGCUUUUGUUCGAAUACAAGUUGGAUCAACUUGUUUUCAUUGCUACUAUUUCUUUUCUGCUUAAACGGUUAGUAUUCUUACUUAGCAUUUUACUAUUAGUCAGCCCUCUUUUAUUUUUUAUUUUUUGUUUUGCAUUUAUUAUUACUAUUGUGUAUUGGGAAUAAAAGGAAGCACUCAUUAUCUAUUUCCUCCUAUGUGUGUUGAUAUGUCUAUGCCUAUGUUUUGUCCUUUUUAUUUCUUAUAUGUGUUGUUUAAAUGAGAGUAAUUUGUUACUAUGAAUAUUUUACUUUACAAUCAGUAUUCCAUUGUAUACGUUUUUAUCUUACUUAUUCUAGUAGGUUUUGGACUUAAAGUUCAAGAUGAUGAAGAGUGGCCUAGAAGAAUUUUUGGACAAAGCUUUAUUUAUCUUAUAUUGUGUAUAUUUUCAUCUGUUAUUUUUAAUACAAUAUGUGUGUAACUCUAAAGCAAAUCUUAUAUAUGAAGCAAUUUGGGGGGAUCACCUAGGGAGGGGAAAUUAUGUGUUAAUCUUUUCUUUUUUUUUUGCAAACUUGUUUGUGUUUAAAAGCAUG